This 456-nucleotide ribosomal RNA is filed under the name Colletotrichum dematium. RNAcentral describes it as "eukaryotic LSU rRNA". The stretch from base 157 to 310 matches the Rfam family "5.8S ribosomal RNA". Lineage: Eukaryota; Fungi; Ascomycota; Sordariomycetes; Glomerellales; Glomerellaceae. The record is from RNAcentral.
CCCUUUGUGAACAUACCUAACUGUUGCUUCGGCGGGCAGGGGGUCCCCUCGGGGACGCCCUCCCGGCCACGCCCUUCGCGGGGCGAGGCGCCCGCCGGAGGAUACCAAACUCUAUUUUAACGACGUUUCUUCUGAGUGGCACAAGCAAAUAAUUAAAACUUUUAACAACGGAUCUCUUGGUUCUGGCAUCGAUGAAGAACGCAGCGAAAUGCGAUAAGUAAUGUGAAUUGCAGAAUUCAGUGAAUCAUCGAAUCUUUGAACGCACAUUGCGCCCGCCAGCAUUCUGGCGGGCAUGCCUGUUCGAGCGUCAUUUCAACCCUCAAGCUCUGCUUGGUGUUGGGGCCCUACGGUUGACGUAGGCCCUUAAAGGUAGUGGCGGACCCUCUCGGAGCCUCCUUUGCGUAGUAACUAACGUCUCGCAUUGGGAUUCGAAGGGACUCUUGCCGUAAAACCCCC